GACGAACGCUGGCGGCGUGCUUAACACAUGCAAGUCGAACGAGACGAUUUAGAAGCUUGCUUUUAUUGAGGCGAGUGGCAAACGGGUGAGUAACGCGUAGACAACCUGCCGCAAAGAUGGGGACAACAGUCCGAAAGGACUGCUAAUACCGAAUGUUGUAUCUCCUCCGCAUGGAAGAGAUAUUAAAGAUGGCCUCGUACUUGUAAGCUAUCGCUUUGCGAUGGGUCUGCGUCUGAUUAGCUAGUUGGUGGGGCAACAGCCUACCAAGGCAACGAUCAGUAGCCGGUCUGAGAGGAUGAACGGCCANAUUGGAACUGAGACACGGUCCAGACUCCUACGGGAGCAGCAGU
This 350-nucleotide ribosomal RNA is filed under the name uncultured bacterium. RNAcentral's name for it is "bacterial SSU rRNA". It matches the Rfam family "Bacterial small subunit ribosomal RNA", at positions 28 to 355 of the family's 1533-position model. The record is from RNAcentral.